This 124-nucleotide ribosomal RNA is filed under the name Aegagropila linnaei. RNAcentral's name for it is "partial 5.8S ribosomal RNA". It matches the Rfam family "5.8S ribosomal RNA", at positions 34 to 154 of the family's 154-position model. From Rfam's summary of the family: 5.8S ribosomal RNA (5.8S rRNA) is a component of the large subunit of the eukaryotic ribosome. The record is from RNAcentral. Lineage: Eukaryota; Viridiplantae; Chlorophyta; Ulvophyceae; Cladophorales; Pithophoraceae.
CGAUGAAGAACGCAGCAAAGCGCGAUAGGUAGUGUGAAUUGCAGAAUUCCGCGAAUCAUCGAAUCUUUGAACGCAUAUUGCGCCUGAGCCUCCUGGCUUGGGCAUGUCUGCCUCAGCGUCGGUU